Lolium rigidum is the source of this 824-nucleotide long non-coding RNA. RefSeq lists it as uncharacterized. The record is from RefSeq and is a predicted model, not a curated record. Lineage: Eukaryota; Viridiplantae; Streptophyta; Magnoliopsida; Poales; Poaceae. The transcript has 4 exons.
AUAAUGGUUCCAGAGAUGUCCCAAGGAGGCGAGAUGACAACUCAGCUUCCCGAAAGAGAAUAGAGGACCGCCGUGCAAAAUCACCCAGACAGUCAAAAGAAUAUGAGAACGAUAAGAGGGGAUCAUAUACUCGUGAUGAUAGUAAGGACCACAGUGAUGCUGCUAAUGGUUCCAGAGGAAGGCGAGAUGACUAUGUAUCUUCCAGAAAGAGAAAGGAAGAAUGCCGGGGAAAGUCACCGAGACGGUCAAAAGAUCAUGAAGAGAAUAAGAAGAGGGGAUCAUAUGCUCCUGAUGAUAGACAUGACCGCCAUGAUCUUGAUAGAGAUCGCAAUGAGAAGCUGUCAACACAUGACAGUAAGGGUUCCCGCUCCAGUCCCCGCAGGAGGUCACCACGCCCAUCUUCUGGAUCACGUUCGGACAGGACUCGUGGUCGCCGCAGCGACUGAUGGAACCAUGGAAGUGUAGGUAUCUGCGCAUUCACUCCGUGUGUGUGCAACGCUGAGUGUUGCUGUACCUAUCGCCCCUCGCCAUUUCGAGGUUGAGACAGGUUGGUAAGAAGCAAAACCCUCUUUGCAGAGCAGAGAACGGAACAUAGAUGAGGUAGGCAGUGAGAAGAACCGAACCCCUAUGGCUGCAAUGUUGCUAGCAUGUGGUUGGUCGUAGCACCAAGCCAGAAUUGCACAUAUUAGUUGUACCCCACUACAUUCUCAUAUGCAUGUGGGAUCCGUAAUGCUGUAGAAGUCUGUUGUGGCCACCAGGCCACCAAAAUGUUUGGGAGGAACAUGAACCAGAGUUUAAUUGGAUGGGGGCAUACAGAAGUUCAA